RNAcentral lists this ribosomal RNA (792 nucleotides) under Triticum aestivum (bread wheat). RNAcentral's name for it is "partial small subunit ribosomal RNA". Lineage: Eukaryota; Viridiplantae; Streptophyta; Magnoliopsida; Poales; Poaceae. The record is from RNAcentral.
AUGGCUGGAAUUGUCUACAAGGAGUUUGCUGGGUUGGCCCAGACAGGGUUGAACUACCUGUCAUGGUCCUCGGACUGUGAGAUCUUUCUCUAGCGAAAAACCCUCCUGAGGGCGAUCGGUAAGGGGGCCCAGCUGGCCCCCACUGAUCCCAAGUUCGAAACUGAGAAUGCACAGGCUCUGCACUUUCUCCGUCAUCACCUAUCACCUACUCUGAAAGAUGAGUAUAUGGCUGAGCGCAGUGCUUCUAGCCUUUGGACCGCACUUGAGCAGCGGUUUGAGCGGCUGAAGUACACUGUGAAGCCACGUGCAGAGGCAGAGUGGAUCCGUCUGAGGUUUGUGGACUUCAAGACGAAGAUUGAGAAAAUCGUAUCCACUUUCCACCCUGAUGCGGUCCAGUCCUCACGGAACUACCGCCAGGGGAACUACACGAGGUAUUCAGAGUUGAUUGACGUCCUCCAGGUGGCGGAGGCGCAGGACGCGGUUCUGAAAAAGAACUUUGUCGCGCAACCACUUGGGGGGAGUUCUCGCCAGGAGAAGCCUUAACAGAAGAAGAGGGGCCGCAAGGGCAAGAAGAAGAGCCGCCACCCCGCCCCGGCUAAGCAGAACAAGCCGGGCAAGGGAGGGCAGAGGCCUCAGGACUGCUUCCGUUGUGGCUCGGUGGAGCAUUUCUCCCGCCAGUGCCGUGCACCACCGGAGGUCGUUGAAGCAUACAAGGCUCGGAAGGCGCGUGAGACGAACAUCGCCUUGGUUUAGGAGUUGACCACAUGGUCGCCUCGGUGGUGCCGCCACUAA